GUUACACCUUUCAGCCACUUCAUAGCUUUAAAAUCACCAGUGUAUCAAAAAUCUCAUGAGAACAACUACUCUUCUCCAUGUAAUCAAAAUAAUUCAACCCCCCUUGAGAAUCAGGUUUAUUUUCAAAAUUUACAGACUUUGAGUUGUUUGCACUGAACAAAUCAAACAAAAAAAAUCAAAAUGAUUCAACUCCCUGAAUAAAAUCUCUCACAACAGCUCAAUUAUGC
This is a non-coding RNA of Pelobates cultripes (western spadefoot toad), 227 nucleotides long. The record is from the annotation of a GenBank genome assembly. Lineage: Eukaryota; Metazoa; Chordata; Amphibia; Anura; Pelobatidae.